RNAcentral lists this ribosomal RNA (633 nucleotides) under uncultured bacterium. Its description in RNAcentral is "bacterial SSU rRNA". It matches the Rfam family "Bacterial small subunit ribosomal RNA", at positions 9 to 640 of the family's 1533-position model. The record is from RNAcentral.
GAGUUUGAUCCUGGCUCAGGAUGAACGCUGGCGGCGUGCUUAACACAUGCAAGUCGAACGAAGCACCUGAGAAUGAUUCUUCGGAUGAAGUCUCUUGUGACUGAGUGGCGGACGGGUGAGUAACGCGUGGGUAACCUGCCUCACACAGGGGGAUAACAGUUGGAAACGACCGCUAAUACCGCAUAAGCCGCCGGUGCCGCAUGGCACUGACGGAAAAGAUUUUAUCGGUGUGAGAUGGACCCGCGUCUGAUUAGCCAGUUGGCAGGGUAACGGCCUACCAAAGCGACGAUCAGUAGCCGGCCUGAGAGGGUGAACGGCCACAUUGGGACUGAGACACGGCCCAGACUCCUGCGGGAGGCAGCAGUGGGGAAUAUUGCACAAUGGGGGAAACCCUGAUGCAGCGACGCCGCGUGGGUGACGAAGUAUUUCGGUAUGUAAAGCCCUAUCAGCAGGGAAGAAGAUGACAGUACCUGACUAAGAAGCCCCGGCUAACUACGUGCCAGCAGCCGCGGUAAUACGUAGGGGGCAAGCGUUAUCCGGAUUUACUGGGUGUAAAGGGAGCGUAGGUGGCAUGGCAAGCCAGAAAUGAAAACCCGGGGCUUAACCCCGCGGAUUGCUUUUGGAACUGUUAGG